UCCAGACUCCUACGGGAGGCAGCAGUGGGGAAUAUUGCACAAUGGGCGCAAGCCUGAUGCAGCCAUGCCGCGGGGAUGAAGAAGGCCUUCGGGUUGUAAAGUACUUUCAGCGGGGAGGAAGGUUUUGCGGUUAAUAACCGCAGCAAUUGACGUUACCCGCAGAAGAAGCACCGGCUAACUCCGUGCCAGCAGCCGCGGUAAUACGGAGGGUGCAAGC
This 217-nucleotide ribosomal RNA is filed under the name Salmonella enterica subsp. enterica serovar Typhimurium. RNAcentral's name for it is "partial 16S ribosomal RNA". It matches the Rfam family "Bacterial small subunit ribosomal RNA", at positions 330 to 539 of the family's 1533-position model. The record is from RNAcentral. Lineage: Bacteria; Pseudomonadati; Pseudomonadota; Gammaproteobacteria; Enterobacterales; Enterobacteriaceae.